GAGCACUGUUUGUAAACUGUUACCUGGCUGUAGUAACAGGUUCCAGUGCUACGGCAUUUCCAAAGGCACAUAACUGACUGACUAGUGGCUUUCAGUUUCAGGUCUUGGAGACAAAC
Small nucleolar RNA from Lepus europaeus (European hare), 116 nucleotides. The record is from RefSeq and is a predicted model, not a curated record. NCBI's taxonomy places the organism in Eukaryota, Metazoa, Chordata, Mammalia, Lagomorpha, Leporidae.